GGAGAGGUGUCCGAGUUGGUUGAAGGAGUUAGUCUCGAAAACUAAUAUACGAGAAACCGUAUCGAGGGUUCGAAUCCCUCCCUCUCCG
This 88-nucleotide transfer RNA is filed under the name Candidatus Endomicrobiellum cryptotermitis. RNAcentral's name for it is "tRNA-Ser". It matches the Rfam family "tRNA". From Rfam's summary of the family: Transfer RNA (tRNA) molecules are approximately 80 nucleotides in length. Lineage: Bacteria; Pseudomonadati; Elusimicrobiota; Endomicrobiia; Endomicrobiales; Endomicrobiaceae. The record is from RNAcentral.